CGGGGUGAGUAAUGUCUGGGAAACUGCCUGAUGGAGGGGGAUAACUACUGGAAACGGUAGCUAAUACCGCAUAACGUCGCAAGACCAAAGUGGGGGACCUUCGGGCCUCAUGCCAUAAGAUGUGCCCAGAUGGGAUUAGCUAGUAGGUGGGGUAACGGCUCACCUAGGCGACGAUCCCUAGCUGGUCUGAGAGGAUGGCCAGCCACACUGGAACUGAGACACGGUCCAG
RNAcentral lists this ribosomal RNA (229 nucleotides) under uncultured bacterium. RNAcentral's name for it is "partial 16S ribosomal RNA". It matches the Rfam family "Bacterial small subunit ribosomal RNA", at positions 104 to 334 of the family's 1533-position model. The record is from RNAcentral.